GGNUCACCUUAGUGGCGAACGGGUGAGGAACGCGUGGGUAUCUGCCCUAGAGUAAGGAAUAACCAUUGGAAACGGUGGCUAAUACUGUAUACGCCUUACGAGGGAAAGGCUUCGGCCGCUCUGGGAUGAGCCCGCGCCAGAUUAGCUUGUUGGUGGGGUAAUGGCCUACCAAGGCUACGAUCUGUAGCUGGUCUGAGAGGACGACCAGCCACACUGGGACUGAGACACGGCCCAGACUCCUAUGGGAGGCAGCAGUGGGGAAUAUUGGACAAUGGGGGAAACCCUGAUCCAGCAAUGCCGCGUGUGUGAUGAAGGUCUUAGGAUUGUAAAGCACUUUCGCCCGUGAAGAUGAUGACUGUAACGGGAGAAGAAGCCCCGGCUAACUCCGUGCCAGCAGCCGCGGUAAUACGGAGGGGGCUAGCGUUGUUCGGAAUUACUGGGCGUAAAGGGCGUGUAGGCGGUUUGUCUAGUCAGAGGUGAAAUCCCCAGGCUCAACCUGGGAACUGCCUUUGAAACUGACAGGCUAGAGACCGGAAGAGGGUAGUGGAAUUCCCAGUGUAGAGGUGAAAUUCGUUAAUAUUGGGAAGAACACCAGUGGCGAAGGCGACUACCUGGUCCGGAUCUGACGCUGAAGCGCGAAAGCGUGGGGAGCAAACAGGAUUAGAUACCCUGGUAGUCCACGCCGUAAACGAUGAGUGCUAGGCGUUGGGGGUCUU
This 716-nucleotide ribosomal RNA is filed under the name uncultured Alphaproteobacteria bacterium. RNAcentral's name for it is "SSU rRNA". It matches the Rfam family "Bacterial small subunit ribosomal RNA", at positions 84 to 833 of the family's 1533-position model. Lineage: Bacteria; Pseudomonadati; Pseudomonadota; Alphaproteobacteria. The record is from RNAcentral.